This 497-nucleotide ribosomal RNA is filed under the name uncultured bacterium. RNAcentral describes it as "partial 16S ribosomal RNA". It matches the Rfam family "Bacterial small subunit ribosomal RNA", at positions 28 to 507 of the family's 1533-position model. The record is from RNAcentral.
GAUGAACGCUGGCGGCGUGCCUAAUACAUGCCAGUCGAGCGAACGGACGAGAAGCUUGCUUCUCUGAUGUUAGCGGCGGACGGGUGAGUAACACGUGGAUAACCUACCUAUAAGACUGGGAUAACUUCGGGAAACCGGAGCUAAUACCGGAUAAUAUUUUGAACCGCAUGGUUCAAAAGUGAAAGACGGUCUUGCUGUCACUUAUAGAUGGAUCCGCGCUGCAUUAGCUAGUUGGUAAGGUAACGGCUUACCAAGGCAACGAUGCAUAGCCGACCUGAGAGGGUGAUCGGCCACACUGGAACUGAGACACGGUCCAGACUCCUACGGGAGGCAGCAGUAGGGAAUCUUCCGCAAUGGGCGAAAGCCUGACGGAGCAACGCCGCGUGAGUGAUGAAGGUCUUCGGAUCGUAAAACUCUGUUAUUAGGGAAGAACAUAUGUGUAAGUAUCUGUGCACAUCUUGACGGUACCUAAUCAGAAAGCCACGGCUAACUACGUG